RNAcentral lists this small nuclear RNA (138 nucleotides) under Xiphophorus couchianus (Monterrey platyfish). Its description in RNAcentral is "U2 spliceosomal RNA (ENSXCOG00000012986.1)". It matches the Rfam family "U2 spliceosomal RNA", at positions 47 to 185 of the family's 192-position model. Rfam says of the family: U2 is a small nuclear RNA (snRNA) component of the spliceosome (involved in pre-mRNA splicing). Lineage: Eukaryota; Metazoa; Chordata; Actinopteri; Cyprinodontiformes; Poeciliidae. The record is from RNAcentral.
NAUCAGUUUAAUAUCUGAUACGUCCCCUACCCGGGGACCAUAUAUUAAAUUGAUUUUUGGAGCAGGGAGAUGGAAUAGGGGCUUGCUCCGUCCACUCCACGCAUCGACCUGGUAUUGCAGUACCUCCAGGACCGGUGC